RNAcentral lists this ribosomal RNA (400 nucleotides) under uncultured bacterium. RNAcentral's name for it is "partial 16S ribosomal RNA". It matches the Rfam family "Bacterial small subunit ribosomal RNA", at positions 360 to 776 of the family's 1533-position model. The record is from RNAcentral.
AAUAUUGCACAAUGGGCGCAAGCCUGAUGCAGCAACGCCGCGUGAGCGAUGAAGGCCUUUGGGUCGUAAAGCUCUGUCCUUGGGGACGAAUAAAUGACGGUACCCUUGGAGGAAGCCCCGGCUAACUACGUGCCAGCAGCCGCGGUAAUACGUAGGGGGCUAGCGUUGUCCGGAUUUACUGGGCGUAAAGGGUGAGUAGGCGGUUACAUAAGUCAGAUGUAAAAGGCUAAGGCUUAACCAUAGUAUGCAUUUGAAACUGUGUGACUUGAGUACAGGAGAGGUAAGUGGAAUUCCUAGUGUAGCGGUGAAAUGCGUAGAUAUUAGGAGGAACACCAGUGGCGAAGGCGACUUACUGGACUGUAACUGACGCUGAGUCACGAAAGCGUGGGUAGCAAACAGG